This 188-nucleotide unclassified non-coding RNA is filed under the name Glomeraceae sp. Its description in RNAcentral is "partial contains 5.8S ribosomal RNA and internal transcribed spacer 2". The stretch from base 1 to 71 matches the Rfam family "5.8S ribosomal RNA", at positions 84 to 154 of the family's 154-position model. The record is from RNAcentral. Lineage: Eukaryota; Fungi; Glomeromycota; Glomeromycetes; Glomerales; Glomeraceae.
GUGAAUCAUCGAAUUUUUGAACGCAACUUGCACUGCCUGGUAUUACGGGGAGUCUGCCUGUUUGAGGGUCGUUAGAUUAAAAAAUCGAGGCGUCGCUCUUUUUUUUAAGGGUGAUCGCGUCGGAAUUGUGCCGUCUUUCACAUGUUAAUUCAUGUCAAUGUGGCCUAAAAUUCAUCCAUCUGGUACGA